This is a long non-coding RNA of Zingiber officinale, 618 nucleotides long. RefSeq lists it as uncharacterized. The record is from RefSeq and is a predicted model, not a curated record. The transcript has 3 exons. NCBI's taxonomy places the organism in Eukaryota, Viridiplantae, Streptophyta, Magnoliopsida, Zingiberales, Zingiberaceae.
UCCGCCGAAAGGUUUUUCUCUCCUUUGCGUUUUCUCCCCGACGGCGAUGGGCCUUCGCGUCCUGCAUGCCAGCCUUCUCCUUCACAUUUUCCCCCAGAUGCUAGUCUUCUCAUUUUUCCUCGAUGCAAAGUCUUCGCGUUGAGAUGCCUUCACUUCCUCUCCUCUCUGCACUCGAGGUUUCUUCCCCUCGACCCCCUUCUUUCCUUUCCUCUCUACUUCACCGCCGCCUAACUGGUAUCAUCGUGGCCUGAGGAACCUGCCUCUUUCUGCCGCCAACCCCUGGAGCAUUGAAUUCGAGGGUGUUCAUCUGUUAUUCCAUUUACAAAGCAAAGGCAACACUCACAAUGGAUCAACGAGGCCCUGAAUUUGCCCCUCUUGAAUCUGGAGCUUACAAAGUCUCUAAGGAAGGAUUAGUCUCUUCCAAUUUGCUCUAUUGUAGGUACUUGACAAUAUCAUUGCAGUAGGACUUCACAGAUUUCUUUUUAAAUCAUUCUCAAUUAACCCGUGUUGAAAUUUAGUUCAAUGAUUUUGGGAGAUUGAUCUUUCAUUAUCGAGUUAAUGAUGAAAUUAAGCCUGUAUGCUACAAAUAUUAUAGUCAAUGAUGGUCCAUUAUGAUUA